Molecule: transfer RNA, 73 nt
Filed under: Cavia porcellus (domestic guinea pig)
Lineage: Eukaryota; Metazoa; Chordata; Mammalia; Rodentia; Caviidae
Rfam family: tRNA
About the family: Transfer RNA (tRNA) molecules are approximately 80 nucleotides in length. Their secondary structure includes four short double-helical elements and three loops (D, anti-codon, and T loops).
Source: Rfam by way of RNAcentral
GGGGUUAUAGCUCAGCAAUGCAAGCAGCUGCCUGGCAAGUACAAAGUCCUGAGUUCGAGUCCCGGUAUCCCCU